GCCCGCCGGGACGCCCCUGCUCGCGGCGCCCCUCCCCGGGCCCUGGCGCGUCCCCGGAGUCUCGCAGUAUUUCCUUCCUGCACCUUUAAGAAGACCGUUGCUCCGUGGUGGGAUGGUGUGUUAAAGCCACACAGAGGAAGUUACGCAGCCCGGAUCAGACCGAGAGAUAAAAGCCCCGAUGGUGACCGUGAGUGAUGGCAAGAGGAUUUAGCCUCGGCAUUAACUUGGAGCGGAGUGCAGGGGGGCCGUGAAGCGCCCCGCCAUCUGGCCCGCGACGCGCCGGGGGGAUGCCCCGGCGCCCCGACGAGCAGCCGCGAAGCCCACCCGGGCCGGGGGCUGCCCGGCGCCCGAGCGCGGGUCCUCUCCGAGCCGCCCGGGGGGCCCGAAAAGUUUGCACUUGUUAGCGGCGACCUCCCGCUCGGCCCGGGCGGGCGAUGCGGGCGGCGCGGGCGGCCCCCUCCCCCGGCCCGCGUCUCCGGGACGGCUGCGGGCGGGCCCCCCGGCGGCCGGAGGGCUCCCCAGCUCCGAUCUGACGGUCGCGGCGGCGGCGGCGGCCACAGCGGCAGCGGGAGCGGGAGCGGCGCGGGGAAGGAGCUCCGGCUCGCAGCCCUCCGGCCCUCGCCCCCACCCAGCGCCAGCCAGACGGGGGAGGCAGAGCGCCAGAGGGUGGCGGUCCUCGGCCUCCCGGGUCUCCGCUCCGGGAAGCUGCUCCGAGCCGGGGUUGUAAAAAUAGUCUCCAGGCGGGUUCUUUCUGAGAGUUUUCUAGCAAGGAGCACAUUCAGGGCCGGGCAGACACUCUCACGCCGCUUCUCUUGAAACAGGCAGAGGUGAGACCGGAACGUCUGUCCCCUUGGCUCCUCUCAUCCAUCUCCAUCAAGAGCCCUUCAGCCAGAGAGAGGGGCAGGGGCCGCCUUAAUGCAGAUUUAUGAUUCCCCCAGCCUGGAGCCAGGGGCACAGGCUGGGGGCUUCUGGGGAGGUGCUGAGCGGCCGGGCCCCCUUGGGGCAAUGUCCACCCCUCCCGGUUUGUCAUCUUUGGCAGGAGUGUGUUUGUCUAUCUGGAUGGAGAAUGGAGUUUCGUGGCUGUGUAGUUAACUCUUCAGGACGCUCUAGGUUCAAGGUCUGCAGACGAUGGCAGGUGAGAGUCAGGUGAAAGCACCAAGGCUGCAGCAGUUUGGGAAUUUAGAUGCAAUAAUUGUCGACACAAUAACCAGAAUUAAUAACUCCGGCGCUUCUCCUGCGACUCAUUGUGGUAACCUUUGCCCUACUGGCUAGCAUUUUUGGCCAGGAUCCCACACUGGCUGGACUCAAAUUCUCCUGGUAAUUUAUCAAGUGCCUGGGAACACAUUGCCUUGCUGGAGUCAUGUUUUUCGCAAUACAGCAUUCAUCUUAGUUAUAUCUAUUUGGGCUUUUAAAUAAGUAUUGGUAGCUUAAAAUAGUAAAGCCGUAAUCAUGACGGUGAUCUGUUUCCAAACACACCCUCUAAGGAUGGCUGCAAAAUCUUGGCUUGAUCAGAAAAUCUAAGAGGACAAAUCAUUGUCUUCAAUGUCCCGAGUUUCUUACAGUUAAAAAUUAAACUCACCAUUUCAGGGUUUUGGAGAGAUAUUGUUGGCACCUGGUUGGUAACUGGUGGCCAGCGCAUGGACCGCUUUUUUACCCGUACCUGUCCACACAAUCUCAUCGACACCUCUCGUUUGGAUUUUCAUCUCUGUCCUCAACAGUUUCGACGUUUUGACUUGUCGGGCGUGCUAUUUUAAAGCAACCAUUCCAUCUCGGCUCCUGGGGCUGUUCAAGAAAGUCACUGACCCCAAGCAGGGGCACUUCUGCCGACCCCGACACCCCCAUAAAUAAGGAGAGAGCGCAUCACCUUUUAAAUAACGUGCCUGAUCUCCAAAUGCGCCAACUCCGAUAUCAAUAAAAAUAACCCAGUUUCCUCCGAAGGCCUUGCU
This 1946-nucleotide long non-coding RNA is filed under the name Sus scrofa (pig). Its description in RNAcentral is "lncRNA (ENSSSCG00050046554.1)". Lineage: Eukaryota; Metazoa; Chordata; Mammalia; Artiodactyla; Suidae. The record is from RNAcentral.